Molecule: ribosomal RNA, 277 nt
Filed under: uncultured prokaryote
Description: partial 16S ribosomal RNA
Rfam family: Bacterial small subunit ribosomal RNA
Source: RNAcentral
UACGUAGGGGGCUAGCGUUAUCCGGAAUUACUGGGCGUAAAGGGUGCGUAGGUGGUUUCUUAAGUCAGAGGUGAAAGGCUACGGCUCAACCGUAGUAAGCCUUUGAAACUGGGAAACUUGAGUGCAGGAGAGGAGAGUGGAAUUCCUAGUGUAGCGGUGAAAUGCGUAGAUAUUAGGAGGAACAUCAGUGGCGAAGGCGGCUUACUGGACUGUAACUGACACUGAGGCUCGAAAGCGUGGGGAGCAAACAGGAUUAGAUACCCUGGUAGUCCCUGAG